This 253-nucleotide ribosomal RNA is filed under the name uncultured bacterium. Its description in RNAcentral is "partial 16S ribosomal RNA". It matches the Rfam family "Bacterial small subunit ribosomal RNA", at positions 524 to 776 of the family's 1533-position model. The record is from RNAcentral.
UACGUAGGGACCGAGCGUUGUCCGGAUUCAUUGGGCGUAAAGAGCUCGUAGGCGGCUGUUCAAGUCGAACGUGAAAACUCGGAGCUCAACUCCGAGCCUGCGUUCGAUACUGGACGGCUAGAGUCUGGUAGGGGGAUCUGGAAUUCCUGGUGUAGCGGUGGAAUGCGCAGAUAUCAGGAGGAACACCUAAGGCGAAGGCAGCUCGCUGGAACGGUACUGACGCUGAGGCGCGAAAGCGUGGGGAGCAAACAGG